GAUGAAGAACGUAGCAAAAUGCGAUACUUGGUGUGAAUUGCAGAAUCCCGCGAAUCAUCGAGUUUUUGAACGCAAGUUGCGCCCGAAGCCAUUCGGCCGAGGGCACGUCUGCCUGGGUGUCACGCAUCGUUGCCCCCCCAAACUCCGGUUCGGGCGGGGCGGAAGUUGGCCUCCCGUGUGUGCCUGCGCGCGCGGUUAGCCCAAAAGCGAGUCCUCGGCGACGAGCGCCACGACAAUCGGUGGUUUUUUUACCCUCGUUCCUCGUCGUGCGUGUCCCGUCGCCCGAACGCGCUCUUGUGACCCUCACGCGUCGCCUCGGCGGCGCUCCCAACGCGACCCCAGGUCAGGCGGGACUACCCGCUGAGUUUAAGCAUAUCAAUAAGCGGAGGA
This 390-nucleotide unclassified non-coding RNA is filed under the name soil metagenome. RNAcentral's name for it is "partial contains 5.8S ribosomal RNA, internal transcribed spacer 2, and large subunit ribosomal RNA". The stretch from base 1 to 122 matches the Rfam family "5.8S ribosomal RNA", at positions 35 to 154 of the family's 154-position model. The record is from RNAcentral.